Molecule: ribosomal RNA, 253 nt
Filed under: uncultured bacterium
Lineage: Bacteria
Description: partial 16S ribosomal RNA
Rfam family: Bacterial small subunit ribosomal RNA
Source: RNAcentral
GAAGGAGGAGGCAAGCGUUAUCCGGAAUUAUUGGGCGUAAAGGGUACGUAGGCGGCCGGUCAAGUCUGGGGUCAAAGGCCACAGCUCAACUGUGGGAAGGCCCUGGAAACUGACCGGCUAGAGUGAGGUAGGGGUUGCGGGAAUUCCAGGUGUAGCGGUGAAAUGCGUAGAGAUCGGGAAGAACACCUGAGGCGGAAGCGCGCAACUGGGCCUCAACUGACGCUGAGGUACGAAAGCUAGGGGAGCGAAUGGG